GAUGAACGCUGGCGGCGUGCCUAAUACAUGCAAGUCGAGCGAACAGACGAGGAGCUUGCUCCUCUGACGUUAGCGGCGGACGGGUGAGUAACACGUGGAUAACCUACCUAUAAGACUGGGAUAACUUCGGGAAACCGGAGCUAAUACCGGAUAAUAUAUUGAACCUCAUGGUUCAAUAGUGAAAGACGGUUUUGCUGUCUCUUAUAGAUUGAUCCGCGCCGCAUUCGCUAGUUGGUAAGGUAACGGCUUACCAAGGCAACGAUGCGUAGCCGACCUGAGAGGGUGAUCGGCCACACUGGAACUGAGACACGGUCCAGACUCCUACGGGAGGCAGCAGUAGGGAAUCUUCCGCAAUGGGCGAAAGCCUGACGGAGCAACGCCGCGUGAGUGAUGAAGGUCUUCGGAUCGUAAAACUCUGUUAUUAGGGAAGAACAAAUGUGUAAGUAACUAUGCACGUCUUGACGGUACCUAAUCAGAAAGCCACGGCUAACUACGUG
This 497-nucleotide ribosomal RNA is filed under the name uncultured bacterium. RNAcentral describes it as "partial 16S ribosomal RNA". It matches the Rfam family "Bacterial small subunit ribosomal RNA", at positions 28 to 507 of the family's 1533-position model. The record is from RNAcentral.